This 254-nucleotide ribosomal RNA is filed under the name uncultured bacterium. RNAcentral's name for it is "partial 16S ribosomal RNA". It matches the Rfam family "Bacterial small subunit ribosomal RNA", at positions 79 to 334 of the family's 1533-position model. The record is from RNAcentral.
CUUUCUUUGCUGGCGACCGGCGCACGGGUGAGUAACACGUAUCCAACCUGCCCUUUACUCGGGGAUAGCCUUUCGAAAGAAAGAUUAAUACCCGAUAGCAUAAUGAUUCCGCAUGGUUUCAUUAUUAGAGGAUUCCGGUAAAGGAUGGGGAUGCGUUCCAUUAGGUUGUUGGUGAGGUAACGGCCCACCAAGCCUUCGAUGGAUAGGGGUUCUGAGAGGAAGGUCCCCCACAUUGGAACUGAGACACGGUCCAA